Molecule: ribosomal RNA, 506 nt
Filed under: uncultured bacterium
Lineage: Bacteria
Description: partial 16S ribosomal RNA
Rfam family: Bacterial small subunit ribosomal RNA
Source: RNAcentral
AGUGAACGCUGGCGGUAGGCCUAACACAUGCAAGUCGAACGGCGGCACCGAGGAGCUUCCUCCUUGGGUGGCGAGUGGCCGACGGGUGAGGAAUACAUCGGAAUCUACUCUGUCGUGGGGGAAAACGUAGGGAAACUUACGCUAAUACCGCAUACGACCAACGGGUCAAAGCAGGGGAUUUUCGGACCUUGCGCGAUUGGAUGAGCCGAUGUCGGAUUAGCUAGUUGGCGGGGUAAAGGCCCACGAAGGCGACGAUCCGUAGCUGGUCUGAGAGGAUGAUCAGCCACACUGGAACUGAGACACGGUCCAGACACCUACGGGAGGAAGCAGUGGGGAAUAUUGGACAAUGGGCGCAAGCCUGAUCCAGCAAUACCGCGUGGGUGAAGAAGGCCUUCGGGUUGUAAAGCCCUGUUGUUGGGAAAGAAAUCCAUCUGGUUAAUACCCGGAUGGGAUGACGGUACCCAAAGAAUAAGCACCGGCUAACUUCGUGCCAGCCGCCGCCGUAA